Molecule: small RNA, 134 nt
Filed under: Salmonella enterica subsp. enterica serovar Infantis
Lineage: Bacteria; Pseudomonadati; Pseudomonadota; Gammaproteobacteria; Enterobacterales; Enterobacteriaceae
Also listed under: 13 other names
Description: RtT sRNA
Rfam family: RtT RNA
About the family: This family represents a bacterial cis-regulatory element known as RtT RNA. The exact function of RtT is unknown although it is thought that it may be involved in changing the cellular response in relation to amino acid starvation.
Source: RNAcentral
UGCAUCUGAAGCCUGACGAGGAUGAGAACCUCCGGGGGCAAGAGGUUCGACCCGAGCGAAGCGAGAGAACGUUGCGUCAGCAACGGCCCGCAGGGCGAGCCACGCAGUGGCGAGUCAUCCUCUAUCACCGAACU